This 548-nucleotide ribosomal RNA is filed under the name uncultured bacterium. RNAcentral's name for it is "bacterial SSU rRNA". It matches the Rfam family "Bacterial small subunit ribosomal RNA", at positions 355 to 895 of the family's 1533-position model. The record is from RNAcentral.
UAGGGAAUCUUCGGCAAUGGGGGCAACCCUGACCGAGCAACGCCGCGUGAGUGAAGAAGGUUUUCGGAUCGUAAAGCUCUGUUGUAAGUCAAGAACGAGUGUGAGAGUGGAAAGUUCACACUGUGACGGUAGCUUACCAGAAAGGGACGGCUAACUACGUGCCAGCAGCCGCGGUAAUACGUAGGUCCCGAGCGUUGUCCGGAUUUAUUGGGCGUAAAGCGAGCGCAGGCGGUUUGAUAAGUCUGAAGUUAAAGGCUGUGGCUCAACCAUAGUUCGCUUUGGAAACUGUCAAACUUGAGUGCAGAAGGGGAGAGUGGAAUUCCAUGUGUAGCGGUGAAAUGCGUAGAUAUAUGGAGGAACACCGGUGGCGAAAGCGGCUCUCUGGUCUGUAACUGACGCUGAGGCUCGAAAGCGUGGGGAGCGAACAGGAUUAGAUACCCUGGUAGUCCACGCCGUANCGAUGAGUGCUAGGUGUUGGAUCCUUUCCGGGAUUCAGUGCCGCAGCUAACGCAUUAAGCACUCCGCCUGGGGAGUACGACCGCAAGGUU